RNAcentral lists this ribosomal RNA (362 nucleotides) under Citrobacter arsenatis. RNAcentral's name for it is "bacterial SSU rRNA". It matches the Rfam family "Bacterial small subunit ribosomal RNA", at positions 56 to 415 of the family's 1533-position model. The record is from RNAcentral. Lineage: Bacteria; Pseudomonadati; Pseudomonadota; Gammaproteobacteria; Enterobacterales; Enterobacteriaceae.
UGCAGUCGAACGGUAGCACAGAGGAGCUUGCUCCUUGGGUGACGAGUGGCGGACGGGUGAGUAAUGUCUGGGAAACUGCCCGAUGGAGGGGGAUAACUACUGGAAACGGUAGCUAAUACCGCAUAACGUCGCAAGACCAAAGAGGGGGACCUUCGGGCCUCUUGCCAUCGGAUGUGCCCAGAUGGGAUUAGCUAGUAGGUGGGGUAACGGCUCACCUAGGCGACGAUCCCUAGCUGGUCUGAGAGGAUGACCAGCCACACUGGAACUGAGACACGGUCCAGACUCCUACGGGAGGCAGCAGUGGGGAAUAUUGCACAAUGGGCGCAAGCCUGAUGCAGCCAUGCCGCGUGUAUGAAGAAGGC